CUUACAACCUCGUUCCCAGGCUCUUUCCUCUUUUUGAGGAAUCAAAAAGAGGGAAGAGCCUGGGAACGAGGUUGAUUGCCU
Molecule: non-coding RNA, 81 nt
Organism: Paramuricea clavata
Lineage: Eukaryota; Metazoa; Cnidaria; Anthozoa; Malacalcyonacea; Plexauridae
Source: the annotation of a GenBank genome assembly